CAACCGACACCUAGACUUAGGGUUUCAUCUAACAGAUUUCCACGAGUUUUGGUGUUUGUCUAUUUCUGCAGGGGGUUAUCAGGAAAUACGAAGGAAAGGCCCACACGUCGGGUUUACAUAGAGAAUUAAUGUGUGCAGCAAUUUUCCAUAAUCAGGAAGACUCAAGAAGCAACUCGACCGAAGCGGAGCCGAGACGGGCCUGGGACCUGGGCGCCCGCCCUUGAUCCUUGGGCGCCCGCCCUGAUACAAGCACCAAUCACAGAAUGGAGUACACCAUUACAAAGAUCUCGUCGAGCUGAUCGAAAUGCAUAUAUUAUUUGCUAUAUUUGGAGUUCGGAAUCAAGAAAUGUUAAUAAAAGAAGGACUCCACAUAAAAGAGCUGCGGGAUUAAUUGGGCUCAAAUUAGAAUUUGGUCCAUUAAGGCCUAUGUGCAUUUUAAUGAGAUAUGGUGGAAAGUUUAGUACCACAUUGCCUGCUGAACCAAAAACGCACAAAGGAGGAGGACUAUAUAAGCAAUGCCCCUAGCCCCUGGAGGAGAACAUAUCAUUAUAGAGUUGAGAGGUGCCCUCGAAGGUAACCUUUCCUCUAUAGAGAAUUAGGGCUAGACAUUCCAAUGUAGUAGAUUAGUUCUAGUCGGGAGUCAGGGAGAGCGGAGCUGCGCUCCGGUUUUGGAGAAGUCUUCAGAGUUUUGGUAUGUCUUUAUUGUAAGACUUAUGCUUUAAUAUAUUUAUCUUCUCUAUAUACUUUUAUGCCUUUAUUAUUAUCGAGUAGUGUAGUUGUUAUAUUUUGGCAUAGGAUCUCCGUUCGCAUCGAGUGCUCUAGUUAUUCAUGGUAAUUAGAGUAGUAAUCGUUAGUGUAGACAUGGUGUCUAUACUAGAGGUUACCUGAGGUUGCACCCAGUCCUGCGGAUUGUUGUGGUAGCCCUAGGGUAGUGACAGCCCUAACGGUCGACGUAUUCCACCUCGUUCGGAUCGGUGUUUGUAGGACCGUAGUCAGAGCUUCCCAGCCUCCUUCUCAUCUCUUUCUGUGGUUUGUGUUCUGGUGUCCCAAAGUGCUAAUAUGUGAUUGCGAUAUCUAUUCAUUCUUUGUUAUCAUAGAACUGAAGUAAUAGAGAAGUAUACAGAAACCCAGGUCUCUCUCGUUGUCCUCCCGCUAUGGCUAUCUACGCAUUUAUCAUAGAAUUCUCACCUUUAUAUUAUUACCUAUCAUAUAUCAUUUACCCCUACUUUAGUCUAGUUGGUUUAUUAAAUUAGUAGAUGCAUGAUAGUAAGUUAUCAGAUUCUUUGACCUUAGCUUCCCAGUGGUAAAAUAUAAAUAACGAUACCUGGAAUACUCCCGGUAAAAUGCUACGAUAAUGUUCUGUGCGCUUGCGGAAUUUUUCUUAUUCUUAUUGCACUUAACGAAUGUCAACAAGCAUUUUUGGCGCCGUUGCCGGGGAAGCAAUUGGUGUGAAGAUUUUGAUAAUGAUCUUGAUGUCUGCUAAUUUAAUGUAUCACUAGCUUUAGUAGGUUUAUUGUAUUUAUCUUUUCUGCAUUUAUUUUUAGCAUAUUUAUUUCUCCAUAACAUAUUUAUCUUUCUGCAUUAUUAUUGCAUUAGAAAAUAUAAUAAAAAUAUUUUAUAUAACUCAUUGCAUCUUAAAUACUAAAACCCCAUGUGAAUAAAUUGUGUGGUGUGUAAAAGCCCACACAGAUAUUCACCGUGGUGGAAUAAAAAAUAAUAAAAAUAAAUAAACAUGCAUUCAUCCUAUUCCAUUUCCUUUUUCCUUCAUAGAAAGAUUAAAACCCAAAAAAUAUAUAUAUUGAGAAAGAGAUCUUGUUGAAACUCUACUUAGAAAAAGAAUUAAGAAAAAUCUAAAAAGCUUGGACAACUAAGGGUUAAGUGGCCAACUACUAAUGUUUAAUCGGUGCCACAAGUUUUGUUGUCUAUUUGAGUUUAACAUGAUUUAAAGAGAGAAUCCCCAAUGAUCAAGAUAUCUUCAUUAACUUGGAAGCGCUGCAAUCAUCACUCACAUUUUGAAGCUCAAGAAUAUUGAAGAACCUCUGUGUUGUGCGGAUUCAAGAUUAAAGACUAUGUCAACAUUUAGCUUGAGGGAAAGCAAUCCCGUUAUCUUCACGAUUCAGGCUUUAAGUAAAAGAGUGAAGAAUAACAACAAGAAUGGAGAUAAAGAAGGAGACACAUGAAGUUUAAUAAUUUGCACAAGAAAGACAUAGCUCGAGAGAUAAUCCAUGGAACGAGACGAAGAGUGCCACGAACAAGAUGCACAACCAUGCAUUGAGAAAGAAAAGCUUCCACAAGGUGAUAUUGUACCAUCACUCUUCAAUUAAGGUAACAUCUUAAGGUUCACUGUUAUAAGCUUCUCCUUGAUUCUGGCAUGCACAUGGAUAAAAAGACAAACAUGUAAGAUUUAUAACUCCAAAUUAACCAACCCAAUUGAUUCAAGAUGUUUAGUCCUUUAAUCUUUGUUUCCGGUACUACCUUCUUGAUCCCACACUCUUAACCAUAUGAGCUAAAAUAUUGCACAUCCGAUCUUUGGAAAAUGAUAGUCAUGUAAAAAACAUUUACUUAGAUAGAUUAUCUUUCCAUAAGGUUGAGUGAUCUGAUCUGGCAAAUGUUUUAAAUGCUACACUCAUGAUCUUAUCAUCCAUCAACUUUGUCUUGCUCACUAUGCUUAGGGUUAGAGAAGAACAAAUACACUUUUGGUUCUGUUGGUGUUUUCCACCAACAGGGCCCAUGCACUUGAUCUCUGCCUUGUCUCUAUGAGCAGGAUACACUUCGAGCAAAACAUGGAGGAGUUUUCCAACUCCCAGACUCUACCAAGUGAAGGACCUGGAUCUACGAGCACAAACACACGGAAGAUGAUGCUGCCAACGCCGCACUUCGAACUGCUGGGAAACGAAAAACAUGGGUGACACCGUAUCAAGAGGUGCAGAUGUCAAGGUCCACACCUAACUCAAAUGACGCACCUAAAGAAUGAACACAGUGAGAAGUCUUGUUCAGAAGACUUAAAACAUUGAACCCUCGCCGAAAGGUAAAAUCGGUAGUUAUCCAUAUUUAUCCUUUCUGUAUUUCCUUUUUUCUUAAAUUAUUUACUUUCCUUAAAUAGCUUGUUAGUUAAUCAUGCUAUCUUGAAAAGAAAAUAAAAAUGUUAAAAACAGUAAGCCCCAUGUGAGUAUGCUCGUGGCAUAAAACCCAUUCACUGUGGUGGCGUAAAAAUAAAAUAAAUAUAUUCUUGUCCUGUAAAAAUGAAAAUAUAAAAAUAAAUUUAUGAUCCUACUAAAGAGAGUAAUAUUUAUUAGAGGAAGCUCAACAUGAUAAAGGCUAAGAGAUUUUAUGCUAACAAUUAACCAGUUCCACAAAGCUUUGUUGUCUAUUUGAGCUCCGCAGAAUUCAAGGAUCAAGGAAGACUAGCAGACGAAGGAUAUCCUAAUCGCUAUCAGGGUGCAGCCAACAUUCAAAUACACCUACGCCACCUGCUAGCUACAUCAGAAGAAAUUACGUUAAAAUCCAGCUUGGGGGAGAGCACCCCCAUUUAUCCAGCAAAGUGUUUCUACUCACAUUUAUACUUUACUCAAAUAAUAAAAAAAUGCAUAAUCAUAAAAACCCAAUUAAACAUUUUGUGCUUAUAUAUAUCUUUGCUUAGUUUGCUAAAUAAAUAAAUAAAGUGUCUAUGCCAAACUCAACUUCAAUGAUAAACUCUUACAUGGAUAUGAUGAAUAGUUGCUCUGCCAAGUAUCUAGUUUUCAAAUUUGAGCUCUCUCUCAAGUUUAGGCAUAACUGUUAUAAUUUAAAGCUUGCUCUAAACCUCAAUUUGCGGGAAGAGUACCUAAUCAAAAGUCUAAGUCGUUAACAGAUAUGAUAUGGGAAGGUUGAGCUGUUGUUUAUCUGUUCCUAGAGAUGCUAGAAUUCUAGAGAAUUUUAUCUUUGAAAAUCUUUAAAAUGUUGCAUGAUGAGUUCCUAUAUGAUGAGAGUUUAAAAUCCUACCACAGCCAUAUAUACAAGCUUAUUAGACUAUGAACCAUAUAUUUACUUUUUACUGCUUAUGAGCAUUGAGUGUGGUCAAGCUAUGUAGACCCUUAGGAGCUUGUCAUGCAGUUGAAAUCAAGAUUCACUUGCACGUUCACUCAUACAUGCUGCUUCUACUCCAGAAGUACGUAUCCACAUACAUCCACUCAUUUCCAUAUCCAGAUUCACCCAAAGUUAUUCUACUCCUAUCUAGGAGAGCCAAAAAAACAUUAUCCUAUCCCUGUUAUUCCCCAUGAAAUAAAUGCUUGAGAUAUUUUGGUUACUACCACUUGCUACAUUAUUUCAGGAGGGUGAGUGCUCUGAAAAAAAAGUGAAUACGAGGAAAUAAAAAGGGGCAAGUGCCCGAAACCUCCAAAAAAAGAAAAAAAAAGAAAAAGUGAGACGAGAGGUAAAAUGGACAAGUGUCCGACAGUAGAAUCAGGGGUACAAGUACCCAUGUGAGAGAAAAGAAAAAUAAAAUAUAGAGCGUCUCAUUCCCCUCAAAAGCCUCAAGUGCAAUAAAGGUUUGUAUCCCCUCAAAAGAGCAAAAGGAGAAUUAGACUUUCACCAUUAUUUUCACCAUUAUCACCAUUCAUUCGCCACACAUGCAUAUCUUGAUUUGACUUAUUGACUUGUUCUUCUGGAUCCAUGGUUUGACUAUGCAAUAAGUGUCUUGUAAGUAUGUAUUAGCUGUCUCCCACCUAUGAGCUCCAGAUAUCAAAACCUUAUUAGAGUAGGGUGAAAGAGAAGGAAAUACCACUAUGCCUCAUACCAAAAAUACCACAUACUUUGAGAGAAGGCAUACACCAUUACUGCCUUGGUAAGGAUCCAGAAAUACCACAAAAGAGAGAAUAGAGAGAGUCAUACAAGGAAUCUCUGAGUUUUAUUUGAUAAUCUGCAAAAACACUAGAGCUAUAGUUAACUGAAGAACAAGAGAUAAGGCGCUUGACUAGACCGUUCUAUCUUUUAACUGCUCAAGACAUAAGUGACGGUUGCAAGCCCCAUGGUGGAAGGUAAAAUGAGUAAGUUUAAAUCUUAACAGUUUACCCUAACCCAGAGAUGAGAUCUUGUUUGAACGCAUGUGUACCUUUAAGGCAUGAAACCACUGCAAAAACUCUUGAGUCCAUCUUUGCUCAGGGACGAGCAAAGGUUAAGCUUAGGGGAGCUUGUUGACGGUCCUUAAUGCUCACAUUUAACCGUCAACUAAUCAUGAAAAAGGAUCCAAAUGCAACCGACACCUAGACUUAGGGUUUCAUCUGACAGAUUUCCACAAGUUUUGGUGUUUGUCUAUUUCUGCAGGGGGUUAUCAGGAAAUACGAAGGAAAGGUCAACACGUCGGGUUUAAAUAGAGAAUUAAUGUGUGUGGCAAUUUUCCAUAAUCAGGAAGACUCAAGAAGCAACUCGACUGAAGCGGAGCCGAGACGGGCCUAGGACCAGGGCGCCCGCCCUUGAUCCUAGGGCGCCCGCCCUGAUACAAGCACCAAUCACAGAAUCGAGUACACCAUUACAAAGAUCUCGUCGAGCUGAUCGAAAUGCAUAUAUUAUUUGCUAUAUUUGGAGUUCGGAAUCAAGAAAUAUUAAUAAAAGAAUGACUCGAGCUGCGGGAUUAAUUGGGCCCAAAUCACAUUUUGGUCCAUUAAGGCCUAUGUGCAUUUUAAUGAGAUAUGGUGAAAAGUUUAGUACCACAUCGCCUGUUGAACCAAAAACGCACAAAGGAGGAGGACUAUAUAAGCAAGGCCCCUGGCCCCUGGAGGAGAACAUAUCUUUAUAGAGUUGAGAGGUGCCCUCGAAUGUAACCUUUCCUCUAUAGAGAAUUAGGGCUAGACACUCCAAUGUAGUAGAUUAGUUCUAGUUGGGAGUUAGGGAGAGCAGAGCUGCGCUCCGGUUCUAGAGAAGUCUUC
RNAcentral lists this long non-coding RNA (5903 nucleotides) under Sorghum bicolor (sorghum). Its description in RNAcentral is "long non-coding RNA (SBIC_LNC013962)". Lineage: Eukaryota; Viridiplantae; Streptophyta; Magnoliopsida; Poales; Poaceae. The record is from RNAcentral.